AAGACUGGGAUAACUUCGGGAAACCGGAGCUAAUACCGGAUAAUAUUUUGAACCGCAUGGUUCAAAAGUAAAAGACGGUCUUGCUGUCACUUAUAGAUGGAUCCGCGCUGCAUUAGCUAGUUGGUAAGGUAACGGCUUACCAAGGCAACGAUGCAUAGCCGACCUGAGAGGGUGAUCGGCCACACUGGAACUGAGACACGGUCCAGACUCCUACGGGAGGCAGCAGUAGGGAAUCUUCCGCAAUGGGCGAAAGCCUGACGGAGCAACGCCGCGUGAGUGAUGAAGGUCUUCGGAUCGUAAAACUCUGUUAUUAGGGAAGAACAUAUGUGUAAGUAACUGUGCACAUCUUGACGGUACCUAAUCAGAAAGCCACGGCUAACUACGUGCCAGCAGCCGCGGUAAUACGUAGGUGGCAAGCGUUAUCCGGAAUUAUUGGGCGUAAAGCGCGCGUAGGCGGUUUUUUAAGUCUGAUGUGAAAGCCCACGGCUCAACCGUGGAGGGUCAUUGGAAACUGGAAAACUUGAGUGCAGAAGAGGAAAGUGGAAUUCCAUGUGUAGCGGUGAAAUGCGCAGAGAUAUGGAGGAACACCAGUGGCGAAGGCGACUUUCUGGUCUGUAACUGACGCUGAUGUGCGAAAGCGUGGGGAUCAAACAGGAUUAGAUACCCUGGUAGUCCACGCCGUAAACGAUGAGUGCUAAGUGUUAGGGGGUUUCCGCCCCUUAGUGCUGCAGCUAACGCAUUAAGCACUCCGCCUGGGGAGUACGACCGCAAGGUUGAAACUCAAAGGAAUUGACGGGGACCCGCACAAGCGGUGGAGCAUGUGGUUUAAUUCGAAGCAACGCGAAGAACCUUACCAAAUCUUGACAUCCUUUGACAACUCUAGAGAUAGAGCCUUCCCCUUCGGGGGACAAAGUGACAGGUGGUGCAUGGUUGUCGUCAGCUCGUGUCGUGAGAUGUUGGGUUAAGUCCCGCAACGAGCGCAACCCUUAAGCUUAGUUGCCAUCAUUAAGUUGGGCACUCUAAGUUGACUGCCGGUGACAAACCGGAGGAAGGUGGGGAUGACGUCAAAUCAUCAUGCCCCUUAUGAUUUGGGCUACACACGUGCUACAAUGGACAAUACAAAGGGCAGCGAAACCGCGAGGUCAAGCAAAUCCCAUAAAGUUGUUCUCAGUUCGGAUUGUAGUCUGCAACUCGACUACAUGAAGCUGGAAUCGCUAGUAAUCGUAGAUCAGCAUGCUACGGUGAAUACGUUCCCGGGUCUUGUACACACCGCCCGUCACACCACGAGAGUUUGUAACACCCGAAGCCGGUGGAGUAA
This 1318-nucleotide ribosomal RNA is filed under the name Staphylococcus aureus. Its description in RNAcentral is "bacterial SSU rRNA". It matches the Rfam family "Bacterial small subunit ribosomal RNA", at positions 134 to 1438 of the family's 1533-position model. Lineage: Bacteria; Bacillati; Bacillota; Bacilli; Caryophanales; Staphylococcaceae. The record is from RNAcentral.